GGCCUACGGGGCGCAGCAGUAGGGAAUCUUCCACAAUGGACGAAAGUCUGAUGGAGCAACGCCGCGUGAGUGAAGAAGGGUUUCGGCUCGUAAAGCUCUGUUGGUAGUGGAGAAAGAUAGAGGUAGUAACUUGCCUUUAUUUGACGGGAAUUAAUUAGAAAGUCACGGCCAAAUACGUGCCCGCAGCCGCGGGAAUAAGUAGGUGGCAAGCGUUGUUCGGAUUUAUUGGGCGUAAAGCGAGUGCAGGCGGGUUCAUAA
Molecule: ribosomal RNA, 258 nt
Filed under: uncultured bacterium
Lineage: Bacteria
Description: partial 16S ribosomal RNA
Rfam family: Bacterial small subunit ribosomal RNA
Source: RNAcentral